UACGGAGGGUGCGAGCGUUAUCCGGAUUCACUGGGUUUAAAGGGUGCGUAGGUGGGAAUGUAAGUCAGUGGUGAAAUCUCUGAGCUUAACUCAGAAACUGCCAUUGAUACUAUGUUUCUUGAAUUUUCUGGAGGUCAGCGGAAUAUGUCAUGUAGCGGUGAAAUGCUUAGAUAUGACAUAGAACACCAAUUGCGAAGGCAGCUGGCUACAGGGAUAUUGACACUGAGGCACGAAAAGCGUGGGGAUCAAACAGG
RNAcentral lists this ribosomal RNA (254 nucleotides) under uncultured bacterium. RNAcentral describes it as "partial 16S ribosomal RNA". It matches the Rfam family "Bacterial small subunit ribosomal RNA", at positions 524 to 776 of the family's 1533-position model. The record is from RNAcentral.